This is an RNA transcript of Haliotis rufescens (red abalone), 2929 nucleotides long. RefSeq lists it as uncharacterized. The record is from RefSeq and is a predicted model, not a curated record. The transcript has 4 exons. Lineage: Eukaryota; Metazoa; Mollusca; Gastropoda; Lepetellida; Haliotidae.
CAUUCAUUUUAUACCAAUUUGACGAUCACUUCACUUUGGCAGGUCACACUGACGUUGUCAUAUUCAUGUGCUCGCAAGUGCUGAUAUAUUUACAUGAACUCAAAGAUGUGUAUUAAAUAUUAUUAUAGUCAAUUGUAAGUUGGAACAUAUGCAUCAAUUCUAAGUCAUUAUACAUAUGAGAAGUGAGUACCGAGUACGGAAUAUAACUUCAGGCCAGAGUGCCGCUCAAAGGUCACACAGUGCGCAGUUCAGACGGCUGACAGCGUCCCCUUGCAUGCAUGACGAAGUUUACAUCUAUUUCCCGAGUUGAUAAUUGAAACAAAAUUAUUCAAACCGUACCAGGUAACGUAUACAAGAACAAUCUUAAUCUAUUAUUUGCGUGAAUACUAAAUACCCAUAGAUCUAGAAAUAUAGAAUAUACAUUUGUAUUUCCAUUUUGCAGCUUCUUGUGAUGACAACUGUUGCCGCUUGACUGCAAGGUGCUAUCGCUCACAGCGGAAAAACGAAUCCCCACAUGAUAUUCAGAUUAUGCUCCACUCUGAGCCGGUGAGUGUCAGCUGUGCUAGCUGCUCAUGUGCAAUUGGCCUGAGUCAGUGCUGUGGACACAUCACUGGGACUUUGUAUCUUGUGGCUCAUUACAAGCUGUGUGGAGUGAGGUCUAUCCCCCAAGAUGUUGCCAAGACAUCAUUGCCACAGACAUGGCACAUACCAAGGGGAGACAAGAUUCGUGGAAUGUCAGUUCAGGAGGUAGAAGUUGUUGGCUACAAGAGAGACAGUGAUGAGCAGCAUAAACCUGUGAAAUCUACCCUGUACAACCCAAUCCGUUCACCACUUCCUCCAUUUGAGCUUUUGUUUGACAAGCUGACUGUGUCUCAUCCUGACUCAUCUCUGCUCACCACUGUACUGGUGAAUCCUAUCCACCUCUUGUGAAUACAAGGUUUGGCUUGUUUCACAAGGGCAGCUCAAUCAGUCAUCAAAAGAAACUUUCACCAUCAUAUUUGUUGAAUAUAGUUGAUGCCUUUUUCCAAGACCUUCCUGUCAACAGUGACAAUACUGGGGACAAUCACUACAGCCAUGUCACUAAUGAGUCUUAAACUACCCUGCUUGACUCACUCUUGAUCAGCAAGGAGGAGGCUGUGGAGAUAGAGAAGGCUACCAGGCUGCAGGCUGCAGAUAAGAAGUGGAAGAGAUUGAGGACCCACAGAGUAACUGCAUCCAAAGUUGGAGAAAUAUCAAAGCGAAAAAAAGAUCCUGAAAACUAUGCCCAAAAGCUGAGGACCUCGACGAGAAAUGUCAUGACUGAGGCAUGAGGGAAGGCCUUGCUAAUGAGCCAGUUGCUGUUGCAGCUUACAGCAGAGUGAAGGAUGAUAAGAUAAAUAUUUAUCCGUCUGGUAUUGUCAUCAACCCCAAGUGUUCCUGGAUGGCUGCCUCACCAGACAGGAAGGUGCUUGACCCAAGCACCAUUCCACCAUUUGGCCUCCUGGAAAUCAAGUGCCCUGACCUUAGUAACAAGGACAUCCAAGAUCUACAGUACCUGACCAUGGUCAAUGGUAACCUUUGCUUAAAGAAAAAUGACAACUACUAUCACCAAAUACAGAUGCAGCUAGCCAUGUCUGGCCUGGUGUGGUGUGAUUUUUUUGUAUGGUCAACAAAAGCCACUCAUUUAGAGAGAAUAUACUUCUGCAGAGAUAGCUGGCAGCAAACUAAAGACAAAGCUGAUAAGUUCUACUUUGAUUAUAUCCUAUGCUAAAAUUAUCUUGUAAAAAUAUGUCAUUAUCUCCGUCCAUCAGGUACUAGUAACUACAGAAUAAGAAAUCAGAAACUUAUUAAGUGUGAUAGGUAUUUUUUAAUACUGGCCACUAGACAACGAUUUGUCACUUGUUUUACAAGUAUUUGACAUCACAGCUUGAAAAACAAUUGUAAUGACCAUUCAUAAUGUCAUGUAACAUCGUUAACUAGGGAUGGCUAAAAAAGAUUGAUAAUCAAAACUAUUGUUGAUGUGAACAAUUUGUAACGAUUAUUGAUAUGAAAAUUGUGUCAUCGAUAAUAUCUUAUAUAAUCUAUUGUUAUGAGUAAAGUUUUAAUUUACAGAAGCAGACUUGUUAUGUCCAUUGCCAAAGACGGAAAGCAACUAAUUUUGUUAUAUCUGACAUGUCCACAAAGUAAUGCAUAAAUGUGUCACCACUCAACAGUGAAAUGAAAUAUGUUGUUUUGUCUCUUGAGCUUUUAGCAUACUUGCUAAAAGUUACUUCUCCAAUAUUUAUCGAUAAUUGAUCGAUAUUUAGUUAAUGAUUAUCAAUCACUCAGAUCAAUAUCUAUAGCAAGCCCUAUUAUUAAUAUAUCAACAAGAAUAUUUAAUAAAUAACACAGCUUGUCUUUGCAACCAGUUUUCAACAAGAAUGAAUUUUCAAUGAGUAAAAGCUGCACUACAUGUAUGUACAAAAAUAAACACUUAUAUAAGUGUUGUGAAUCACUUCCAUUCAUCCAUUCCACAUGUAUCAUAUUUCUGGAGCACUGUUUUAGAGUUGAAUUUUCUUUUUGAUAUCCAAUUGAAUAUCAAGUUUAACUUCAGAUGUCAACUUUUACAGACAUUAGUUAUUAAUAUCAACAUGACAAAAAUGCACUUCUCUACAACAUAUAUGUUUGGGGUGCAAAACUAAAUAACUAUCGGUGAUUAUCAUUAAAUGGUCAUUUGCAAUCUGUAUGCGAGUGAGUGAGUUAAAAUUUAAUGUCACAUCAGCAUUAUUUCAGCUAUAUAGCUAUGAGACCAAGUUGAUAUGUACACAGUUUGUUCAUGAAUACAAAGUUACAUUCAAAAACAAUUUAUGGAACAUAUUUGGGAAUAACAAUCUCAUGUAAACAGUUUUAAAACACAGGCUAUAGGCCACCUUGCUGGGGAUCAUGGGGACUUACAGUGCCUCGGCUUCCU